UGUACCAGAUGGAAGUGAUGUUUGGCA
This 27-nucleotide non-coding RNA is filed under the name Mus musculus (house mouse). Lineage: Eukaryota; Metazoa; Chordata; Mammalia; Rodentia; Muridae. The record is from RNAcentral.